GACGGAGGAUGCAAGCGUUAUCCGGAAUGAUUGGGCGUAAAGCGUCCGCAGGUGGCCGUUCAAGUCUGCUGUCAAAGACCGGGGCUUAACUUCGGAAAGGCAGUGGAAACUGAACAGCUAGAGUAUGGUAGGGGCAGAGGGAAUUCCUGGUGUAGCGGUGAAAUGCGUAGAUAUCAGGAAGAACAUCGGUGGCGAAGGCGCUCUGCUGGACCAUAACUGACACUCAGGGACGAAAGCUAGGGGAGCGAAUGGG
Molecule: ribosomal RNA, 253 nt
Filed under: uncultured bacterium
Lineage: Bacteria
Description: partial 16S ribosomal RNA
Rfam family: Bacterial small subunit ribosomal RNA
Source: RNAcentral